UUUUCGUCGUUGUUGUUUAACGCGUCUUCACUGAUCCCUGAUAUUUUAUCGAUUUUGUUCAAUUCAUACGUUUUAAUAUGGAUCAAGAGACGACAAGUUUGCUCGAACAAAUCGCUAGUGUGGUCAAAGAAUGCGAGCAGAUAUUGGAAGGAACUGGCAUUGUAGAAGAUGAAGAAAGAUAUAGAUAUACUCUAUUUUACUGGAAAUGGAAAUAAAAACAAGCCUUUGCAUUUGAAAGUCGACAGAUAAGAUCCAAAGCAUUUUGGGGAAAAAGAGUUCGAAAUCUUCCAAUCAUCCUGAUUGACCAGGAAGGUAUUUACAAUGUUAUUGAAAAACAUAUUUUGAUGUGGGCAGCAGUUGAAAAGAUAGCUGAUGCAGUUGUUGCCUUCCUGGCUUCAUUCUAUUUGUUGGACAUUGACUAUCAAAAACAUCAUGAAAUAGAAUUGCCAGUCCUGCAAGUUAUAAUUUUCAAAAACACUCAAGUGCCACAAGACAUCAGUUCAGCUUGUAUCAGCAUGUUAAGGUCAUAUAAAGAAGUAUGUUGAACUUUAGUUAAGU
This 558-nucleotide long non-coding RNA is filed under the name Dendronephthya gigantea. RNAcentral's name for it is "uncharacterized LOC114533448". Lineage: Eukaryota; Metazoa; Cnidaria; Anthozoa; Malacalcyonacea; Nephtheidae. The record is from RNAcentral.